GACGAACGCUGGCGGCGUGCUUAACACAUGCAAGUCGAACGCUGAAGCCCAGCUUGCUGGGUGGAUGAGUGGCGAACGGGUGAGUAACACGUGAGUAACCUGCCCCCUUCUUUGGGAUAACGCCCGGAAACGGGUGCUAAUACUGGAUAUUCACUGGCCUUCGCAUGGGGGUUGGUGGAAAGGUUUUUUCUGGUGGGGGAUGGGCUCGCGGCCUAUCAGCUUGUUGGUGGGGUGAUGGCCUACCAAGGCUUUGACGGGUAGCCGGCCUGAGAGGGUGACCGGUCACAUUGGGACUGAGAUACGGCCCAGACUCCGACGGGAGGCAGCAGUGGGGAAUAUUGCACAAUGGGCGAAAGCCUGAUGCAGCGACGCCGCGUGAGGGAUGACGGCCUUCGGGUUGUAAACCUCUUUCGCUCAUGGUCAAGCCGCAGCGUUGGGUUGUGGUGAGGGUAGUGGGUAAAGAAGCGCCGGCUAACUACGUG
RNAcentral lists this ribosomal RNA (482 nucleotides) under uncultured bacterium. Its description in RNAcentral is "partial 16S ribosomal RNA". It matches the Rfam family "Bacterial small subunit ribosomal RNA", at positions 28 to 507 of the family's 1533-position model. The record is from RNAcentral.